AGAGUUUGAUCCUGGCUCAGAUUGUACGCUGGCGGCAUGCCUUACACAUGCAAGUCGAACGGUAACGCGGGGGCAACCCUGGCGACGAGUGGCGAACGGGUGAGUAAUACAUCGGAACAUAUCCAGUAGCGGGGGAUAACCUAUCGAAAGAUGGACUAAUACCGCAUACGAUCUACGGAUGAAAGCAGGGGACCGCAAGGCCUUGCACUAUUGGAGUGGCCGAUGUCGGAUUAGCUAGUUGGUGGGGUAAAAGCUUACCAAGGCGACGAUCCGUAGCUGGUCUGAGAGGACGAUCAGCCACACUGGAACUGAGACACGGUCCAGACUCCUACGGGAGGCAGCAGUGGGGAAUUUUGGACAAUGGGCGCAAGCCUGAUCCAGCCAUGCGGCGUGAGUGAAGAAGGCCUUCGGGUUGUAAAGCUCUUUCGGUGAAGACGAAACGGUUCAUGCUAAUAACGUGAACUAAUGACGGUACUCACAGAAGAAGCACCGGCUAACUACGUGCCAGCAGCCGCGGUAAUACGUAGGGUGCAGGCGUUAAUCGGAAUUACUGGGCGUAAAGCGUGCGCAGGCGGUUUGCUAAGACAGGUGUGAAAUCCCCGGGCUUAACCUGGGAAUUGCGCUUGUAACUGGCAAGCUAGAGUGUGGCAGAGGGGGUGGAAUUCCACGUGUAGCAGUGAAAUGCGUAGAUAUGUGGAGGAACACCGAUGGCGAAGGCAGCCCCCUGGGUUAACACUGACGCUCAUGCACGAAAGCGUGGGGAGCAAACAGGAUUAGAUACCCUGGUAGUCCACGCCCUAAACUAUGUCAACUAGUUGUCGGGGAAGAAAUUCCUUGGUAACGAAGCUAACGCGUGAAGUUGACCGCCUGGGGAGUACGGCCGCAAGGUUAAAACUCAAAGGAAUUGACGGGGACCCGCACAAGCGGUGGAUUAUGUGGAUUAAUUCGAUGCAACGCGAAAAACCUUACCUACCCUUGACAUGCUAGGAAGCCCGCAGAGAUGUGGGUGUGCCCGAAAGGGAACCUAGACACAGGUGCUGCAUGGCUGUCGUCAGCUCGUGUCGUGAGAUGUUGGGUUAAGUCCCGCAACGAGCGCAACCCUUGCCAUUAGUUGCUACAUUCAGUUGGGCACUCUAAUGGGACCGCCGGUGACAAACCGGAGGAAGGUGGGGAUGACGUCAAGUCCUCAUGGCCCUUAUGGGUAGGGCUUCACACGUAAUACAAUGGUCGGUACAGAGGGCUGCCAACCCGCAAGGGGGAGCUAAUCCCAGAAAGCCGAUCGUAGUCCGGAUUGUAGUCUGCAACUCGACUGCAUGAAGCCGGAAUCGCUAGUAAUCGCGGAUCAGCAUGUCGCGGUGAAUACGUUCCCGGGUCUUGUACACACCGCCCGUCACACCAUGGGAGUGGGUUCCACCAGAAGUAGUUAGCCUAACCGCAAGGAGGGCGAUUACCACGGCGAGAUUCAUGACUGGGGUGAAGUCGUAACAAGGUA
Molecule: ribosomal RNA, 1492 nt
Filed under: metagenome
Description: bacterial SSU rRNA
Rfam family: Bacterial small subunit ribosomal RNA
Source: RNAcentral